Molecule: long non-coding RNA, 738 nt
Filed under: Homo sapiens (human)
Lineage: Eukaryota; Metazoa; Chordata; Mammalia; Primates; Hominidae
Description: HSALNT0282667
Source: RNAcentral
GCGCAUCGGAGUCCGGGGAGGUAGGCGCUAGUCUCCUCAGGGUCAGCCGCAGGACUCCUUCCCUGCUAUUGAGAGUUGAUGGCUCAGGCUCGCGACCGCUGAAGGCCAGGCUCUACUGCAUGGCUGCACCAGCCGCCUCACGUUCGAGACCUGUGCCAAUCCCAUGGACACUCUCCCAGCCAGCCCCUGGACACGCUUCUCAUGUGACGCACGCCCUGUCCUCCUCUCAGCCCUCACAGCACGGAUCCUCCCCGGCGACCUCAGCGCCCCCGGGGCUGACCAGGCCGCGGCCGGCUCUCCUCCGUCUUGAGGGGGCCUCCUCCUCCCCACCUAAGUCUCCUCCGCGCGCGGAGCGAUUGGAGAGAAACUCUCACCACUUCCCAACAGCAGUGGGCCUGCACUUGUAAUCUCAGCUGCCCCACUGGAGGAAGUGACAGGAUCCUACUUGAGGCCGGGCCUUCACCUGAAUCCCAUGCCCUCUACCUUCUCAAGGUAGAGACUUUUGUAGUGAUUAUCCCUUAUUCCUGAAUUGUCACAUUCUUUCUUUAUUCUGGAUUCUUCUGUCAUCUAUAAACAUGCUCUUGUUUCUGACAUUUUAUACAAAAUGUAAUAAAACAGAAAUCAGUUCCUUAUCCCAUAUUUCUCCAAGGUAAUGACACAUUUCCCUGAUGCUCCAAGCAGCAAAUCUGUCUUCCCUUGUUCUAUAAUCAUUAUCAUUACAAACCUCUUCAAUGCAGC